UGUGUAGGCGGUUUGAUAAGUUAGAUGUGAAAUCUUCGGGCUCAACCCGGAAACUGCAUUUAAUACUAUUAGACUAGAGUACGAAAGAGGGAGAUGGAAUUCUCGGUGUAAGAGUGAGAUCUGCAGAUAUCGAGAGGAACACCAGUAGCGAAGGCGAUCUCCUGGGUCGAUACUGACGCUGAAACACGAAAGCUAGGGGAGCGAACAGGAUUAGAUACCCUGGUAGUCC
Molecule: ribosomal RNA, 229 nt
Filed under: uncultured bacterium
Lineage: Bacteria
Description: partial 16S ribosomal RNA
Rfam family: Bacterial small subunit ribosomal RNA
Source: RNAcentral